Molecule: long non-coding RNA, 366 nt
Filed under: Anser brachyrhynchus (Pink-footed goose)
Lineage: Eukaryota; Metazoa; Chordata; Aves; Anseriformes; Anatidae
Description: lncRNA (ENSABRG00000015416.1)
Source: RNAcentral
AUGGGGGUGUCAGGGCGCGAGCAGGCUCGCUCUUCACCCUUGAGGGAGAGGAGCGCAUUCGUGCGGCCUGGUACGACGCGCAUUUGUGGGGACACCGGGUGUGCAGAGAGGAGUGUUAAAGCAUUAUUUCGAGCUGUGCAGCUUAAACUCUGGUCAACGGGGGAGCAGAGAAGUCAAAGGCAUCGCUGUAGCAAGCAAGUUCUAAACCUCAAUCAUGUCAUUGAUCCACCCUCAAAUGCCCUUUCCUGCGAGUUCCUCGUGGCAAGGUUUGUGCCAUGGGAAGAGGCACUGGCUUUUCUGUGAUGGAAAUUGAGUACCACAGCUACAUCACCAUCAUGGCAGAAACACCAUGUGGCAUCCGGAUUU